GAUGAACGCUAGCUACAGGCUUAACACAUGCAAGUCGAGGGGCAGCAUGGGCUUAGCUUGCUAAGCCCGAUGGCGACCGGCGCACGGGUGAGUAACACGUAUCCAACCUUCCGGUAACUCCGGUAUAGCCUUUCGAAAGAAAGAUUAAUCCCGGAUAGUAUGGUGAUUCCGCAUGGUUUCUCCAUUAAAGGAUUCCGGUUACCGAUGGGGAUGCGUUCCAUUAGGCAGUUGGCGGGGUAACGGCCCACCAAACCUACGAUGGAUAGGGGUUCUGAGAGGAAGGUCCCCCACAUUGGAACUGAGACACGGUCCAA
Molecule: ribosomal RNA, 314 nt
Filed under: uncultured bacterium
Lineage: Bacteria
Description: bacterial SSU rRNA
Rfam family: Bacterial small subunit ribosomal RNA
Source: RNAcentral